AGCAGCCGCGGUAAUUCCAGCUCCAAUAGCGUAUAUUAAAGUUGCUGCAGUUAAAAAGCUCGUAGUUGAAUUUCGGGACCAUCAUGUCGGUCGUGCCUCGGUACGUACUGGCAUUGUUGGUUUCUCCCUUCUGACGAACCAUGAUGUCAUUUUAUUUGGUGUUAUGGGGAGUUAGGACUGUUACUUUGAAAAAAUUGAGUGUUUAAAGCAGGCAUUAGCUUGAAUACAUUAGCAUGGAAUAAUGAAAUAGGACGUUCGAUCCUAUUUUGUUGGUUUCUAGGAUCAACGUAAUGAUUAAUAGGGAUAGUUGGGGGCAUUAGUAUUCAAUUGUCAGAGGUGAAAUUCUUGGAUUUAUUGAAGACUAACUACUGCGAAAGCAUUUGCCAAGGAUGUUUUCAUUAAUCAAGAACGAAAGUUAGGGAUCGAAGACGAUCAGAUACCGUCGUAGUCUUAACCAUAAACUAUGCCGACUAGGGAUCGGAUGAUGUUAAUUUUUAUGUAC
This 502-nucleotide ribosomal RNA is filed under the name uncultured Glomus. RNAcentral's name for it is "SSU rRNA". It matches the Rfam family "Eukaryotic small subunit ribosomal RNA", at positions 569 to 1077 of the family's 1831-position model. The record is from RNAcentral. Lineage: Eukaryota; Fungi; Glomeromycota; Glomeromycetes; Glomerales; Glomeraceae.